GGCGCCGUGCCCAAGUGGUUUAAGGGGGCGGAUUGCAAAUCCGUUAUUCGCCGGUUCGAAUCCGGCCGGCGCCU
Molecule: transfer RNA, 74 nt
Filed under: Planctomycetota bacterium
Lineage: Bacteria; Pseudomonadati; Planctomycetota
Also listed under: 3 other names
Description: Planctomycetes bacterium (marine metagenome) tRNA-Cys
Rfam family: tRNA
About the family: Transfer RNA (tRNA) molecules are approximately 80 nucleotides in length. Their secondary structure includes four short double-helical elements and three loops (D, anti-codon, and T loops). Further hydrogen bonds mediate the characteristic L-shaped molecular structure. tRNAs have two regions of fundamental functional importance: the anti-codon, which is responsible for specific mRNA codon recognition, and the 3' end, to which the tRNAs corresponding amino acid is attached (by aminoacyl-tRNA synthetases). tRNAs cope with the degeneracy of the genetic code in two manners: having more than one tRNA (with a specific anti-codon) for a particular amino acid; and 'wobble' base-pairing, i.e. permitting non-standard base-pairing at the 3rd anti-codon position.
Source: RNAcentral